UACGGAGGGUGCAAGCGUUGUUCGGAAUCAUUGGGCGUAAAGAGUUCGUAGGCGGUAUGUAAAGUCCGGUGUUAAAUCCCGAAGCUCAACUUCGGCAUGGCACUGGAUACUUGCAAACUAGAAUGCGGUAGAGGUAAAGGGAAUUCCUGGUGUAGCGGUGAAAUGCGUAGAUAUCAGGAGGAACAUCGGUGGCGAAAGCGCUUUACCGGGCCGUAAUUGACGCUGAGGAACGAAAGCCGGGGUAGCAAAU
This 250-nucleotide ribosomal RNA is filed under the name uncultured prokaryote. Its description in RNAcentral is "partial 16S ribosomal RNA". It matches the Rfam family "Bacterial small subunit ribosomal RNA", at positions 524 to 773 of the family's 1533-position model. The record is from RNAcentral.